CAAAUAUUCUCCUUGAUGAGAAUUGGCAUGCAAAAAUAACAGAUCUUGGGAUGGCGAAGUGUUUGAGUAGCGACGGUUUACAAAGCGGUUCAAGCUCUCCCACC
This is a non-coding RNA of Camelina sativa (false flax), 104 nucleotides long. The record is from RefSeq and is a predicted model, not a curated record. Lineage: Eukaryota; Viridiplantae; Streptophyta; Magnoliopsida; Brassicales; Brassicaceae.